ACUCAAAUGAAUUGACGGGGACCCGCACAAGCAGUGGAUGAUGUGGAUUAAUUCGAUGCAACGCGAAAAACCUUACCUACCUUUGACAUGACUAAGAUCCUGCUGAGAAGUGGGAGUGCUCGGAAGAGAAUUAGUGCACAGGUGCUGCAUGGCUGUCGUCAGCUCGUGUCGUGAGAUGUUGGGUUAAGUCCUGCAACGAGCGCAACCCCUGUCUUUAAUUGCUACUGAGUUUGCAGUUACCUUAAAGAGACUGCCAGCGACAAGUUGGAGGAAGGUGGGGAUGACGUCAAGUCCUCAUGGCCUUUAUGGGUGGGGCUUCACACAUCAUACAAUGGUUGGACCAAAGAGUUGCCAACUUGCAAAAGGGAGCCAAUCUCACAAAGCCAGCCUCAGUUCGGAUUGUACUCUGAAACUCGAGUGCAUGAAGUUGGAAUUGCUAGUAAUCGUGGAUCAGCAUGCCACGGUGAAUACGUUCUCGGGUCUUGCACACACCGCCCGU
This 499-nucleotide ribosomal RNA is filed under the name uncultured bacterium. RNAcentral describes it as "partial 16S ribosomal RNA". It matches the Rfam family "Bacterial small subunit ribosomal RNA", at positions 899 to 1397 of the family's 1533-position model. The record is from RNAcentral.